Molecule: ribosomal RNA, 404 nt
Filed under: Fusobacteriota bacterium
Lineage: Bacteria; Fusobacteriati; Fusobacteriota
Description: Fusobacteria bacterium partial 16S ribosomal RNA
Rfam family: Bacterial small subunit ribosomal RNA
Source: RNAcentral
UGGGGAAUAUUGCACAAUGGAGGGAACUCUGAUGCAGCGACGCCGCGUGAGUGAUGAAGGAAUUCGUUUCGUAAAACUCUGUUCUAUGGGAAGAAAAGGACUGUACCAUAGGAGAAAGCUCCGGCUAAAUACGUGCCAGCAGCCGCGGUAAUACGUAUGGAGCGAGCGUUGUCCGGAAUUAUUGGGCGUAAAGGGUGCGCAGGCGGCUUUACAAGUUGGAUGUGAAAUAUUGUGGCUCAACCACAAACGUGCAUCCAAAACUGCAAAGCUUGAGUUAAGGAGAGGUAAGUAGAAUUCCUGGUGUAGCGGUGGAAUGCGUAGAUAUCAGGAGGAAUACCGGUGGCGGAGGCGACAUACUGGACUAAUACUGACGCUCAGGCACGAAAGCGUGGGGAGCAAACAGG